RNA transcript from Cucumis melo (muskmelon), 2409 nucleotides. It is a transcript of the gene named cytochrome P450 97B2, chloroplastic, with no coding region annotated. Lineage: Eukaryota; Viridiplantae; Streptophyta; Magnoliopsida; Cucurbitales; Cucurbitaceae. The record is from RefSeq and is a predicted model, not a curated record. The transcript has 17 exons.
CAACCUUUAAUGCAUCACUUGUCACUAAAAUCUCAGUUCUCAUAUUUCUGACCCAAAAUAUCAUUCAUCGGAUAAGAACUUUCCCAGAAAGAGCUAGUGGGAGCUGCAACAAUGGCCGGAAAGUAGACUCCAUGCGCCCCAAUUUUUGUAUGCACUUCAGUACUGUGCUAUAUUGGGUUACACAACACAAAUCCUUGGUGGGUUAUCGCACUAAACAUUAGAGAAAACAGAGGGAGCAAAAAAGUUGUUUUCUUUUUUAAGAAAUAAAAUAUUCUAUAUCCCAAUCCCACCUGGACGAUUGGUGUGUCACUUGGGAAUGGCUAUGGUGGCCACUGCCCUUUCGAACCUGCCUUCUGCUCUCUUCCAUGGAAAUCCACAUGGAAAUGAAUUUGGGUUUCUGGGUAUGUCGAAACAGCCCAUCAAGUAUCUCAAAUCAAAUCUUAGAGCUCCGGUUGUGAGAUGCCAAUCAACUGACGUUGGUGAACCGAAAACAAAAAGAAAUCUUCUUGACAAUGCUAGCAAUCUUCUUACCAAUUUGUUAAGUGGUGGAAAUUUGGGAACUAUGCCGAUAGCUGAAGGUGCAGUCUCUGAUUUGUUCGGCCGCCCACUCUUCUUUGCUCUGUAUGAUUGGUUCUUAGAGCAUGGAUCUGUUUAUAAACUUGCCUUUGGACCAAAAGCAUUUGUUGUUGUAUCAGAUCCUAUAGUGGCAAGAUAUAUUCUUCGUGAAAACGCAUUUGCUUAUGACAAGGGAGUGCUUGCUGAUAUUCUAGAACCGAUAAUGGGCAAAGGACUAAUACCUGCUGAUCUUGACACUUGGAAGCAGAGGAGACGAGUUAUAGCUCCUGGAUUCCAUACCUAUUACUUGGAAGCUAUGACCAAAGUGUUCACUGAUUGUUCAGAACGAUCAAUUCUGAAAUUGGAGAAGCUUCUUGGAGAAGGUGAACUACAGGAGGAUAAAACCAUUGAGUUGGAUAUGGAAGCAGAGUUUUCUAGUUUGGCUCUUGAUAUCAUUGGACUCGGUGUUUUCAACUAUGAUUUUGGUUCUGUAACCAAAGAAUCUCCAGUGAUUAAGGCUGUAUAUGGAACCCUUUUUGAAGCAGAGCAUAGAUCAACUUUCUAUAUACCUUACUGGAAAGUACCUUUGGCAAGGUGGAUAGUCCCAAGGCAGCGUAAAUUCCAUAGUGACCUUAAGGUUAUUAAUGACUGUCUUGAUGGACUAAUACGAAAUGCAAGAGAAACCCGAGAGGAAGCUGAUGUUGAGAAAUUGCAGCAAAGGGACUAUUUAAAUCUCAAGGAUGCCAGUCUUUUGCGUUUCUUGGUUGAUAUGCGGGGAGUUGAUGUCGAUGAUCGGCAGCUUAGGGACGAUCUGAUGACAAUGCUUAUUGCCGGGCAUGAAACAACUGCUGCUGUGCUUACAUGGGCUGUUUUUUUGCUUGCACAAAACCCUUCAAAAAUGAAAAAGGCUCAGGCAGAAAUCGAUUCGGUUCUUGGCAAGGGGAAGCCAACUUUUGAAUUACUUAAAGAAUUGAAGUACAUCAGAUUUAUUGUCGCAGAGACUCUUCGUUUGUUUCCUCAGCCACCUUUGCUAAUAAGACGAGCUCUCAAACCAGAUACAUUGCCAGGAGGAUACAGUGGUGACAAAAAUGGAUAUGCAAUACCUGCUGGGACUGACAUCUUCAUCUCUGUUUACAAUCUCCACAGAUCUCCAUACUUCUGGGAAAACCCUCAAGAAUUUGAACCAGAGAGAUUUCAAGUAAAGAGGGAAAGCGAAGGAAUUGAAGGAUGGGACGGUUUCGACCCAUCAAGAAGCCCGGGAGCUCUAUACCCUAAUGAGAUUGUAUCAGACUUUUCCUUCUUACCAUUUGGUGGAGGACCAAGAAAAUGUGUGGGCGAUCAAUUUGCUCUAAUGGAGUCAACUAUAGCACUGGCCAUGUUACUGCAGAAGUUUGAUGUGGAACUAAGAGGAAGUCCAGAAUCUGUUGAACUUGUUACUGGGGCCACUAUACAUACCAAAAGUGGGUUGUGGUGCAAAUUGAGAAGAAGAUCACAAGUGAAAUGAUAUAUAACAUUCUUGUUACCCCAAGAAUAUGGUACACUUAUUUGUGCAUGUAUGAUUAUACUUGGAUUCUGAUUGCAGGACUAACUGCAGGAUUUUCUGAAUAGCGUGCAAAUUUUCAUGGUAGGAAGAGAGCACCAAGUAGAAGUAUACUUAAGGACUUACGGUUUAGAGAUGAUGAAUAAGGAGAGUCUGAGAAGCAGGAAUGACCGAUAUUCAUCUCAGAUACAGUACAUAUAGAAUCCAAUUCUCUUAUCAUGUUAUAUUUCUUUCUUUCCUCUUAUGUGACUUUUUAAAGCACAUAUAAGUCAUUGAAAUACCUAGUUUAAUGCAAACUCGUUUAAUUCGUCCAA